AUUGAACGCUGGCGGCAGGCUUAACACAUGCAAGUCGAGCGGGGGAAGGUAGCUUGCUACUGGACCUAGCGGCGGACGGGUGAGUAAUGCUUAGGAAUCUGCCUAUUAGUGGGGGACAACAUCUCGAAAGGGAUGCUAAUACCGCAUACGUCCUACGGGAGAAAGCAGGGGAUCUUCGGACCUUGCGCUAAUAGAUGAGCCUAAGUCGGAUUAGCUAGUUGGUGGGGUAAAGGCCUACCAAGGCGACGAUCUGUAGCGGGUCUGAGAGGAUGAUCCGCCACACUGGGACUGAGACACGGCCCAGACUCCUACGGGAGGCAGCAGUGGGGAAUAGUGGACAAUGGGAGGAACCCUGAUCCAGCCAUGCCGCGUGUGUGAAGAAGGCCUUAUGGUUGUAAAGCACUUUAAGCGAGGAGGAGGCUACUUUAGUUAAUACCUAGAGAUAGUGGACGUUACUCGCAGAAUAAGCACCGGCUAACUCUGUGCCAGCCGCCGCAGUAA
This 501-nucleotide ribosomal RNA is filed under the name uncultured bacterium. Its description in RNAcentral is "partial 16S ribosomal RNA". It matches the Rfam family "Bacterial small subunit ribosomal RNA", at positions 30 to 523 of the family's 1533-position model. The record is from RNAcentral.